Molecule: ribosomal RNA, 1144 nt
Filed under: marine metagenome
Description: bacterial SSU rRNA
Rfam family: Bacterial small subunit ribosomal RNA
Source: RNAcentral
CGGGAGGCAGCAGCAGGGAAUCUUCCGCAAUGGGCGAAAGCCUGACGGAGCGAUGCCGCGUGAGGGAUUAAGGUUUUUGGAUUGUAAACCUCUUUUCUUGGGGAAGAGCAAGGACGGUACCCAAGGAAUAAGUGACGGCUAACUACGUGCCAGCAGCCGCGGUAAUACGUAGGUCACGAACGUUGUCCGGAAUUAUUGGGCGUAAAGGGUCCGUAGGCCGUUUGGUCAGUCUCCUGUGAAAUCUCUAGGCUCAACCUAGAGAGGUCGGGAGAUACUGCUAAACUAGAGAUUGUCAGAGGCAAGUGGAAUUCCCGGUGUAGUGGUGAAAUGCGUAGAUAUCGGGAGGAACAUCAAUGGCGAAAGCAGCUUGCUGGGGCAUUUCUGACGCUGAGGGACGAAAGCGUGGGUAGCAAACCGGAUUAGAUACCCGGGUAGUCCACGCCCUAAACGAUGAAUGCUAGGUUUGCGGGGUAUCGACCCCUUGUGAGCCGAAGCUAACGCGAUAAGCAUUCCGCCUGGGGACUACGGCCGCAAGGCUAAAACUCAAAGGAAUUGACGGGGGCCCGCACAAGCAGCGGAGCGUGUGGUUUAAUUCGAUGGUAAGCGAAGAACCUUACCUAGGCUUGACAUGUAAGUUACUGAUCUGAAAAGUGAGGAACCCGCAAGGGAGCUUACACAGGUGUUGCAUGGCUGUUGUCAGCUCGUGCCGUGAGGUGUUGGGUUAAGUCCCGCAACGAGCGCAACCCCUAUUACUAGUUAUUUUCUCUAGUGAGACUGCCCCUAAAAGGGAGGAAGGUGGGGACGACUUCAAGUCAUCAUGACUCUUACGUCUAGGGCUACACACACGCUACAAUGGCCAGUACAGACGGUUGCUAAGCCGCGAGGUGGAGCCAAUCCGAUAAAGCUGGUCUCAGUUGGGAUUGAAGGCUGCAACUCGCCUUCAUGAACGCGGAGUUGCUAGUAAACGCAGGUCAGCACACUGCGUUGAAUACGUUCCCGGGCCUUGUACACACCGCCCGUCACGUCAUGGAAGUUGGUAAUGCUUGAAGUCGCUGGGUGAACCCUUUGGGGCACAGGCGCCGAAAGUAGAACCGAUGACUGGGACGAAGUCGUAACAAGGUAGCUGUACCGGAAGGUGCGGCUG